Molecule: ribosomal RNA, 639 nt
Filed under: uncultured bacterium
Lineage: Bacteria
Description: bacterial SSU rRNA
Rfam family: Bacterial small subunit ribosomal RNA
Source: RNAcentral
AAAAACUGAGGUGGUAUACGAUGGUUCCGCGUCUGAUUAGCUAGUUGGUGGGGUAAAAGCCUACCAAGGCAACGAUCAGUAGCCGGCCUGAGAGGGUGAACGGCCACAUUGGGACUGAGACACGGCCCAAACUCCUACGGGAGGCAGCAGCGGGGAAUAUUGCACAAUGGGGGAAACCCUGAUGCAGCGACGCCGCGUGAGUGAAGAAGUAUUUCGGUAUGUAAAGCUCUAUCAGCAGGGAAGAAAUACUGACCAUAGGGUCAGCAGACGGUACUUGACUAAGAAGCCCCGGCUAACUACGUGCCAGCAGCCGCGGUAAUACGUAGGGGGCAAGCGUUAUCCGGAUUUACUGGGUGUAAAGGGAGCGUAGACGGCAGCGCAAGUCUGAAGUGAAAUGCCAGGGCUUAACCCUGGAACUGCUUUGGAAACUGUGCAGCUAGAGUGCAGGAGAGGUAAGUGGAAUUUCUAGUGUAGCGGUGAAAUGCGUAGAUAUUAGGAGGAACACCAGUGGCGAAGGCGGCUUACUGGACUGUAACUGACGUUGAGGCUCGAAAGCGUGGGGAGCAAACAGGAUUAGAUACCCUGGUAGUCCACGCUGUAAACGAUGAUUACUAGGUGUUGGGGGACCAAGGUUCUUCG